RNAcentral lists this ribosomal RNA (355 nucleotides) under Ribes petraeum. Lineage: Eukaryota; Viridiplantae; Streptophyta; Magnoliopsida; Saxifragales; Grossulariaceae. The record is from RNAcentral.
UCUGAACCUUUCUAGCGAUGCUAGGGAGCGUUUUCGAUGGAUACGACUACAAUAUCUCAUUUUGUUGUCAUUGCAGAUGAAUGAGUGUUCUAAUUCAAACCAUUAUACACGGAAAUCGAGGAUUUUUUGUUGUUUCUGUAUCUGUUUUUAUCCAUCUGCGCAUUAAGAAACCAUUUYYACGUCAAUUUUGAUAAUUUGUCGUCGAUUYCCCAUGAAAUCAUUUGUAUAGAAUGAAAAAGAAUUUGAAACUAGAUACAUCCUCUUUUUGUUUCCCUAUUAGUUUCUUUAUUAUCUUUUAAUCAAUAWAUAGAAAAUGCAUUCGCAAAAUGAGUUAUAUACAAAUAGUGUGCGAAUG